RNAcentral lists this ribosomal RNA (484 nucleotides) under uncultured bacterium. Its description in RNAcentral is "bacterial SSU rRNA". It matches the Rfam family "Bacterial small subunit ribosomal RNA", at positions 28 to 497 of the family's 1533-position model. The record is from RNAcentral.
GAUGAACGCUAGCGGCAGGCUUAAUACAUGCAAGUCGAGGGGCAUCAAGGUACACGAAAGUGUAUUGUUGGCGACCGGCGGACGGGUGAGUAAUAGGUAGGUAACCUACCUCAUACUGAGGCAUAGCUGGGAGAAAUUCCAGGUAAUUCCUCAUGAGGUUAUAUGACACAUGUGAUAUAAUCAAAGGUAUCGCAAGGUACUGGUAUGAGAUGGGCUUACUGACCAUUAGCUAGUUGGUGAGAUAAGAGCUCACCAAGGCGAAGAUGGUUAGGGGUUUGAGAGAGAGAUCCCCCACAUUGGAACUGAGAUACGGUCCAGACUCCUACGGGAGGCAGCAGUAGGGAAUAUUGGGCAAUGGGCGGAAGCCUGACCCAGCCAUGCCGCGUGAAGGAAGACGGCCUUAUGGGUUGUAAACUUCUUUACUAUGCGACUAACUAGAUUUACGAGAUAAUCUAUAGAAUGUAGCAUAGACAAAAAGCACGGA